GUGGAUUGUAUGGAAUUCCUGUUAUGUGAGUAAUGCCAAAUGAUGAGCAAAAUUGUUUAAAAGAGGUGGAGGCAUAACCAGGACCAUUAUCGGUUUUUAACUGUUUUGGAACGCCCACAGUGGCAAAAUUUUGUAAGCAAUGAGCUAUAACAUCUUUAGUUUUUUCUCCGGCAUGAAGGGAGCCCAUCAGAAAUCCGGAAGAAGUAUCAACUGUAACAUGUAAAUAUUUUAAUUUUCCAAAUUUUGACAAGUGUAUGACGUCCAUCUGCCAAAUGUGGUUAGGUAUCAGUCCUCUAGGAUUGACUCCAAGAUUAACUUGUGGUAAAAAUGUCACACAAUUUUGACAUUGUUUUAUUAUAUGUCGGGCUUGUUCUUUAGUUAUUUUAAAACGCUUUUGUAAAGUAUUAGCAUUGACAUGGAACCUUUUAUGAAAAUUUAUAGCUUUUUCUAUUGUGGAGAAAAUAUGUAUGUCAUGUGUAGAUUUAUCUGCUAAUUCAUUGCCCAAACUAAGGGCUCCAGGCAAUCAUGUAUGUGCCCUGAUAUGUCCUAUAAAGAAUGGAUCUUUUCUGUCCCAGAUUAGACUUUGUAUAGUGGAAAACAAAGAGAAAACAGUAGAAGAAGGGGAAAUCCUACCAGCAUCUUCAAGGGAUACUAUAGCAUUAACUACAUACUGACUAUCAGAAAAUAAAUUAAAUACAAAUCUUUAAACAUCAUAAAAGCUUGUAAUACUGCAUUAAGCUCUACCUUUUGAGCUGAUUGUUUGGGUACUAAAAAUUUAAAAGUUUGAUCAGGGGUAACUACUGCUACUGUACCAUUAUUUGACCCAUCAGUGAAUAUAUUUGGAGCAUUCAUGAUAGGGGUUUUUCUUGUCAUUUUAGGAAAAACUACAGGAUGCUUAGACCAAAAAGACAACAAAGGAUUAGAUGGUAAAUGAUUAUCAAAUGAAACAUUAGAUUUACACAUGAUUAUUGCCCAAGUAUUUAACUCAUUAGCUAACUCAUCAAUUUGAUCCAUAGUAUAUGGAGUAAUACUUUUAUUGGGAGAAAUCCCAAACACUCCCUUGGCUGCUUUUAUUCCUUUGAGUAUUAAUUGUCCUACAGCCUCAGGAUAUCUAGUAAGAAUAGUGUUAGGAGAAUAAGAUAAAUGUAUCCACAAUAAUUGACCUUCUUGCCAGAAUACUCCUGUAGGAAUAUUUUUUGUUGGCAGUACAAUAAAUAAUAAAGGCAAACUUAUAUCAAUUCUAUCCAAAUGCAUAUUUUCCAUAUAUGUUUCAAUGAUUUUUAAUACCUUUCUUGCUUCAGGCGUCAACAUGCGGGGUGAAUUUGGAUCUGAUGGACCUUUUAGAAUAUCAAAUAAAGGUCCCAACUCUCCUGUUGGUAUGCCUAGAUAAGGCCUUAUCCAAUUUAUGUCUCCUAAUAACUUUUGAAAGUCGUUAAGUGAUUUGAGUUGAUCUACUCAUAUUUGAAUUUUUGGUGGACGGACCAUGGUUGAGGAUAAUAAAACCCCUAAAUAAUUAAUUGGAAGAUUUAAUUGUACUUUAUUUAUUGCUAUCUCUAGAUUAUAAUUUUUUAAUAAAUUUGUAAGUGUGGCGUAACAUUCUAGCAAUGUGUUUUUAUCUUUAUGUGCCAAUAACACAUUAUCCAUAUAGUGAAAUAUUUGUAGUUCAGGAUUUUGAUUUCUAAGUGGCUGGAUUGCUUUGUUAACAUAAAUUUGACACAUAGUUGGACUAUUAGCCAUCCCUUCAGGGAGUACUUUCCAUUCAUAUCUCUGAUCAGGACCUUCAUGAUUUAGUGCAGGGAUAGUAAAUGCAAAAUGUGGACUAUCCUCGGGAUGAAUUGGAAUUGAAAAAAAAACAAUCUUUAAUAUCUAUAGCUAAAACAUACCAGGUUUUUGGUAAAGCAGACAAUUGGGGAAUCCCUGAUUGAGCAGGUCCCAUAAUAACCAUCUCAUUAUUAAUGGCUCUUAAAUCUUGCAAUAAUCUCCAUUUACCAGAUUUCUUUUUAAUGACAAAAAUGGGAGUAUUAUGGGGAGAUACGGAAGGUUGUAUAUGUCCCUCUACUAAUUGUUGUUUGACCAGGUCAUGGGCUAUUUGUAUCUUUUUUUUAGUCAGGGGCCACUGAGGAACCCACACUGGUCUUUCUGAUUUCCAAGUAAUUUUUAUUGUCUCAGUGGCCCUUUCUGAAAACCCAAUCCAUGUCUAUUUGUUUCUUGAUCUAUUUGAAUUGGUGCUGUCAUACCUUGUUCUUGUUCUCUUAAUCUUUCUUCUUUCCUAAAGCCUUGUCUAGCCCUAGUAGUGGGCGCAUUAGGAUUGAUGUUAUUUGUUAAUGUCAAACCUAAUUGAUCUAGGACAUCUCGUCCCCAUAAAUUUAUAGGAAGAUGAUCCAAUACAUAGGGCUGUAUAGUUCCUU
This 2408-nucleotide long non-coding RNA is filed under the name Marmota monax (woodchuck). The record is from RNAcentral. Lineage: Eukaryota; Metazoa; Chordata; Mammalia; Rodentia; Sciuridae.